UUUUGCAGAAUGAAACAAAUAGAGUUUAGGUUAAGGUAAUCUUUUGUUUUGUUUCAUUUAUGCUGCAAUUUUCUUUUGGUUCAAAUUGAUCCCAUAUAUAUGUCAUUUGGUUUUAUUCAUUAAGAAUUGAUUUCGGUUUUCUAUAACUUUUAUGGGUUUCAAUUUUUCUUCUAGUGCCAUACAGAAAUCUUGUUCUAUUCUUUUUCAAAUAUGUAAAGAAAUUGGAACAAGACUCAAGUACAGUUAUGGAAAUUGCAAGUUGUGUUCUUAUACUUGCAAAUUUGGUUAUCAUUUUGGUAAGUAUUUUAAAUUCAAAUAUUGGACGGUUUAAGGAUAUGUAUUUUAAAAUAAGUUGAUUGAAACAUAACGUUGCCAAAGUAACCCUUUUUGUGGAGAUUAAUUUAUUUUGAAAUACAAAAGGUUGUGUGCUUGUAACUUAUGUGAAUAUUUAACCGGCCCAAAGGAAGGUAACUAUUUUACAGAAUUAUAAGUGCAACUGUGGUGAUAAACGUGUGAUAAUUAUUCGGUUUUACGUGUGAAUAAUAAAUUGGCCCAAAGGAAAAUUUGUUAUUUGACAUGUUUUUUUUUAUUAUCAGUGUUUGAUUACUACGCCAAGGUAUCACUGAAAAGUUAAUAUUUUGUCCAAAGAUAGAAUGUUAAUGGAUUCCCGAUAUCUUGUAAUGGGAUUUAUCUUUAUUUGAAUUUAAAAUNN
This 712-nucleotide long non-coding RNA is filed under the name Trifolium pratense (red clover). RNAcentral's name for it is "long non-coding RNA (TPRA_LNC014013)". The record is from RNAcentral. Lineage: Eukaryota; Viridiplantae; Streptophyta; Magnoliopsida; Fabales; Fabaceae.